This 93-nucleotide ribosomal RNA is filed under the name Shigella flexneri. Its description in RNAcentral is "partial 16S ribosomal RNA". It matches the Rfam family "Bacterial small subunit ribosomal RNA", at positions 1 to 91 of the family's 1533-position model. Lineage: Bacteria; Pseudomonadati; Pseudomonadota; Gammaproteobacteria; Enterobacterales; Enterobacteriaceae. The record is from RNAcentral.
AAAUUGAAGAGUUUGAUCAUGGCUCAGAUUGAACGCUGGCGGCAGGCCUAACACAUGCAAGUCGAACGGUAACAGGAAGCGCUUGCUGCUUCG